AUGAAUAUGACAGCAAACAAUGCUUUAAAACUUGUGUCUUGGGGUCUGGGCUAUAACAGCCCACUUAGAGAAUCCUCAGCACAACUUGCUGACUGUCAUCUGGACUACCUCACGCAUAGGCCUGCUCAGUGUUUCCCAACUUCUCCAGAUGAUUGCCUCUCUCAAGACUUCCUGGGAGUCUGGACCAGCAAGGGAGAGCACUUCCAGACCAUUAUUAGCAGGAGCACAUCCGGUCUCCUGGCCAGAGGAAGUCACCAUGCCAGGAGAAGAGAAGGGUUGACCUUCUGGGCCUUAAUCUGUAAGAGUUACUUGGCCACCAAGCGGUGCAGUCAGGGAGGAGGGAGUGGUAGGGCUCCCGUCAGGAAAGCUCAGGGCCUUGUGUGCUCGGAAACUUCGAGAUCUCCCCUCCUUAGUCCCUUUGGCCAGGAUGGGUGAAGCCAGCUUUGGCAGUAAAGGUGUCAGGGCACUGCUGGGAAGGUAGAGAUUCAGGGAAUUCCCCAUGGACAUUCACUUGUCUAGGAAGCCUUUCCUCCUGAGGCCUUCCUGCAAGGAUGCUGGCAAUAAGACAAGGAUUCAUGUGUAAUUUCCCAACUGGAGAAGUAGAAGGAAAAAUACUUAACUAUUUAUUUAACUCUGUCCAAUUAUACAUUCAUCCCUUCAUUAAUUUAGCACUUUUUGAAUGCUUAUUUUGUGAUUACCUGGGUUAGGUUCUGUGAGUACUGCUGAGAAAUAUAAGACAAGGUCUGGCCUCCAGGACCUUGAAAUCUAGAUAUAGAGUCAAAAUUAGUACAAAUGAAACAAUUGAUGGAUUACAAUACAGUCAAGUGGAAUAUAAUAUGAUCAGUGCUACGUUGUGUGGUAAUACAGUAAGUGCUAAAGUGGAGUUUAGUAAAUGUUUCCUGAGAAAAUGCUUUGCCAGGCUUCGCUAAGUUCUAAAAGGUAUAGAGAUAGCUGAGACAUGGUUCCUAGACUGAGAACCCUCAGUUCUAGUUGAGGGGACACAUGUUAGUAGACAAUUUUGAUAUGCAGAGGGUGCUGUGGAAAUACAGAGGAGAGCCACUGAGCCCAAUCCAGGUGAUACAACGCCUAAAUAAGUGAGGGCAGGCACCCAAAGGAAGGUUGGAAGAAUGCUAUAGGCACAGAGAAUGGCAUAGGAAACUCUGGUGGUCUGGUAUGAUUGAAAACUACAGCUAGGAAGUUCUCAGAAUUAGGGAAAGGCAGAAAAUGAAGAUAGACAGGCUAAAAGAGGUCAGAUCAUGCAGAGCCUUAUGAAGGAAAUUAAGAAAAUCAGCCUUGUCUUGGUAGAGGCCACUAAAGGGUUCUUAACAGCUAACUCUCACGGCUGGGAGGAAGAUGUACUUGAGAGGAACACAGCUGCAGGCUGGGAACCCAGUUAGGAAGCAAUAACAGUAGUCCAUGUGAAAAGUGAUGGGGG
RNAcentral lists this long non-coding RNA (1435 nucleotides) under Vulpes vulpes (red fox). RNAcentral describes it as "lncRNA (ENSVVUG00000005646.1)". The record is from RNAcentral. Lineage: Eukaryota; Metazoa; Chordata; Mammalia; Carnivora; Canidae.